RNAcentral lists this ribosomal RNA (253 nucleotides) under uncultured bacterium. Its description in RNAcentral is "partial 16S ribosomal RNA". It matches the Rfam family "Bacterial small subunit ribosomal RNA", at positions 524 to 776 of the family's 1533-position model. The record is from RNAcentral.
UACGGAGGGUGCAAGCGUUGUUCGGAAUUACUGGGCGUAAAGCGCGUGUAGGCGGUCCUGCAAGUCAGACGUGAAAGCCCUCGGCUUAACCGGGGAAGUGCGUCUGAAACGGCAGGACUUGAGUACGGGAGAGGGAGGCGGAAUUCCCAGUGUAGAGGUGAAAUUCGUAGAUAUUGGGAGGAACACCGGUGGCGAAAGCGGCCUCCUGGACCGAUACUGACGCUGAGACGCGAAAGCGUGGGGAGCAAACAGG